Molecule: ribosomal RNA, 307 nt
Filed under: Hoplobunus sp. DNA100327
Lineage: Eukaryota; Metazoa; Arthropoda; Arachnida; Opiliones; Stygnopsidae
Description: partial 12S ribosomal RNA
Source: RNAcentral
GAAAUUCUAAUCUUAUUAUUAAUAAUAAAAGAAACUUAAAAAUUAUGGCGGUUGAAUUUUAAUUUUAGAGGAGUUUGUCCCUCAGAAUUUACCCUAUAUAUUUUUAAAAUCUUAAACUUAUUAAUCUCCGUUAAUAGAUACUUCACCAAAAGCCUAACUUACCUUCUAUUUCAGGUCAAGAUGUAGUAAUAAAUUUUCAAUGAUUAACUACAUUUAUAUAAUCAAUGAAAGAUUUCAUUUAAAAGCCUUCCAAAUUUGAAUUUAAUUGUAAUCUAUUUUACCAUAAAUUUAUGAAACCUUAAGUUCA